Long non-coding RNA from Ostrea edulis (European flat oyster), 471 nucleotides. RefSeq lists it as uncharacterized. The transcript has 2 exons. NCBI's taxonomy places the organism in Eukaryota, Metazoa, Mollusca, Bivalvia, Ostreida, Ostreidae. The record is from RefSeq and is a predicted model, not a curated record.
UGUCUAGUCUUACUCGGGGAGCAUACGUUUUUCUUCUGCACCCGGUGUUCCACAGUGAUAGGAAGGGGUAGAUUAGGUUUUCGUGAUAACCGAAUCUCCAGUCCGGGUUUCCCUGUGUGGCUGCAUGGAUUUGUAGCGAAGGUCUGGCGGUGGUAGUCUGGUGUAUGAUGGUAACGAGGACGUAUAUCUAACCUAGGCUAGGGCCGGAUGAUGACCUUAUAUAGAACAGGGUGACGGACACGUGGCACAGUCAUAAACCGAAUGGUGGAUGCGUAGUGCUGUCCAGGAAAGACGGACAUAGUUUCAAUGAUUAAAUUGUUUUCAUUUGUAUAUUUGCAUUUAUUUGGUUUUAUGUAAAUCAUAAAUAGAUAACCAGUUUUCACUGGUCGAGCUAGAGGGUGUUGUGACAGACUUCAUCUGUUAUGCAUAUGUGGAUUCUAAAGAACUUUUAGUAAACUUUAAAUCGCAAAA